AUGGCGUCGGAGGAAGCGUUGAAAGCGGCGGAGGACGCGAUGACCGCUGCGGCGGAGGCCAGAGCGGAAGCAGAUGCGUUGAGGGAGGAGCUGGCGGCGCUGAAAGGCAAGAAGUCGGAAGGGGAGGUGAAGCAGGAGGCCUUGAUUCCAGCGGCGGCGGCGCUGCCGGUGAGGCCCCGCGGCCCCAUAAUCUACCCGCAGCUCACCCGCACAAAUUACACGCUGUGGGCGAUGCAGAUGCGGGUGGCGAUGCAGUCAACACGAGUUUGGGAGGCGGUAAGCUCUGAAGAUGUCUCUUUCGAGAUGGACCGCGACGCGCUGCUAGCCAUCUACCAGGGCGUACCGGAGGACGUGCUGGCAUCACUCGCCGGCAAGGACAUGGCAAAGUCAGCCUGGGAAGCCAUCAAGACUGUGCGUGUCGGCCACGAGCGCGUACGUGAGUCCAAUCUUCAGUCGCUAAGGAAGGCGUUUGAGGGAUUGGAGAUGGGCGACGACGAGCAGAUAGAAGCCUUCGCAACGCGUGUGAACAAGAUGGUUUCAUCCAUCCGCGCGCUCGGCGAUGAGGUGAAGGAGCUCACGGUGGUCCAGAAAAUUCUUCAGGCGGCGCCGGCGCAGCUCACGCACCUUGUGACCGCGCUGGAGCAGUGCGUGGACUUGAAGACGCUAACCAUGGAGGAUUUAAUUGGGCGCUUCAAGGCAUACGAGGAGCGCAUCCGGCAACGUUUCGGCGAUCCUAUUGAUGGUCAGCACCUAAUGCUGAGCAGGAAAUAA
This 771-nucleotide ribosomal RNA is filed under the name Triticum aestivum (bread wheat). RNAcentral's name for it is "partial small subunit ribosomal RNA". The record is from RNAcentral. Lineage: Eukaryota; Viridiplantae; Streptophyta; Magnoliopsida; Poales; Poaceae.